Molecule: ribosomal RNA, 772 nt
Filed under: Betaproteobacteria bacterium
Lineage: Bacteria; Pseudomonadati; Pseudomonadota; Betaproteobacteria
Description: bacterial SSU rRNA
Rfam family: Bacterial small subunit ribosomal RNA
Source: RNAcentral
CUGGCUCAGAUUGAACGCUGGCGGCAUGCCUUAUACACCUGCAAGUCGAACGGCAGCGCGGGGCAACCUGGCGGCGAGUGGCGAACGGGUGAGUAAUAUAUCGGAACGUACCCUAGAGUGGGGGAUAACGUAGCGAAAGUUACGCUAAUACCGCAUACGAUCUACGGAUGAAAGUGGGGGAUCGCAAGACCUCAUGCUCGUGGAGCGGCCGAUAUCUGAUUAGCUAGUUGGUAGGGUAAAAGCCUACCAAGGCGACGAUCAGUAGCUGGUCUGAGAGGACGACCAGCCACACUGGAACUGAGACACGGUCCAGACUCCUACGGGAGGCAGCAGUGGGGAAUUUUGGACAAUGGGGGCAACCCUGAUCCAGCAAUGCCGCGUGUGUGAAGAAGGCCUUCGGGUUGUAAAGCACUUUUGGCGGGAACGAAACGGGUCUUUCUAAUAUAGAGACCUAAUGACGGUACCCGCAGAAUAAGCACCGGCUAACUACGUGCCAGCAGCCGCGGUAAUACGUAGGGUGCAAGCGUUAAUCGGAAUUACUGGGCGUAAAGCGUGCGCAGGCGGUUAUGCAAGACAGAUGUGAAAUCCCCGGGCUUAACCUGGGCACUGCAUUUGUGACUGCAUGGCUAGAAUCUGGCAGAGGGGGGUAGAAUUCCACGUGUAGCAGUGAAAUGCGUAGAGAUGUGGAGGAACACCGAUGGCGAAGGCAGCCCCCUGGGCUAAGAUUGACGCUCAUGCACGAAAGCGUGGGGAGCAAACAGGAUUAGAUACC